CCUACGGGAGGCAGCAGUGGGGAAUAUUGCACAAUGGGCGAAACCCUGAUGCAGCAACGCCGCGUGAGCGAUGAAGGCUUUCGGGUUGUAAAGCUCUGUCCUCAAAGAAGAUAAUGACGGUACUUGACGAAGAAGCCCCGGCUAACUACGUGCCAGCAGCCGCGGUAAUACGUAGGGGGCUAGCGUUAUCCGGAAUUACUGGGCGUAAAGGGUGCGUAGGCGGGAUGGCAAGUCAAGUGUGAAAUCCCCGCGCUCAACCAGGGAACUGCCUUUGAAACUGGCAAACUGGAGUGUGUGAGAGGAAAGUGGAAUUCCAGGUGUAGGGGUGAAAUCCGUAGAUAUCUGGAGGAACACCAGUGGCGAAGGCGACUUUCUGGAACAUAACUGACGCUGAGGAGCGAAAGCGUGGGUAGCAAACAGGAUUAGAUACCCUAGUAGUC
This 440-nucleotide ribosomal RNA is filed under the name uncultured bacterium. RNAcentral describes it as "partial 16S ribosomal RNA". It matches the Rfam family "Bacterial small subunit ribosomal RNA", at positions 338 to 795 of the family's 1533-position model. The record is from RNAcentral.